AACACAGUCGGUCAGUAAAUAAUAACACGGAUGCAUCAAAGGCAUAUUUCCGUGUAAUCAAAAGAUGGCUGAAAGUUUUUCAUGUUGUUCACAAGUCCCUUACUGUCAGAUGAUGUCAUGAUGCCAAGAGGACCAUCUGUUCCUGCUGGUUUAGCAGUCGACAAAAGACGGGAAUAUAUCUUCUGAGAACUCUGUUGCCACAUCCGUAAAGUUCUGGCUAUGCUGCUUCUCUCAAAGAAGCAUUGGAUAGGAAUAGAAGCACAAUUCUUCAGGAAAGGUUGAUUGCUAAUUGCCACUUGACAGAAGUGCAUCCUAGUGUUCUUAGACCUGGUAAUGACGUGGUGAGCAAUAUAAGCAACCCAACAGGAUCAAACAAAUCAACAAAUGCACAACCUACAGUCUGUAUCUGCAUGCAGGAACAUGUACACUGCUGGCUAUAUGUGUCUUCCUAUUAAUUUGCAUGGUGAAUUUGUCAGGGUUCAAACUGGUGGUACCCUUAAUCCCGAUGAGCUGCUUAAAACACAAUGAUUGGGGAAGGAUUCUUUGCAUCCUUCAACAUCUCCAACUUUCUUCACACCUAAUACUUACUUGGAUUAUGCCCAUUUAAGAAUCAACCAUGAAGCUCCGCCCUCACAACAAUUUCUGCAUGGCCAGUUAACUCUGAAAGAAGAAAAGACUGUGAUAUUACACUUAAAUUAAAGUCAAGAUAUAAGUAAUGCUCAUGCAGGAUAUUUUGUAUUUAGAACAUUAGACAAUACCAUCAGACGGUACAUCUUAGCUAGCUACAAGUCAAGAUAUAAGUAAUGCUCAUGCAGGAUAUUUUGUAUUUAGAACAAUAGACAAUACCAUCAGACGGUACAUAUUAGCUAGCUACGUAGGAAUAUCUCAUCAGAUUGCGUCUCUAAACAAUACCAUGGAAGCAUAAUAAUAUACGAAGAAUUCAGAUCAUAACAGAAUAGACUAUUAACUGUAGAAACACAAGAAAGAAAAAAGAACAUCUGAUAUUGAUUAAACUUGAGUCACCAAUUGUGCUAGUACCAGAGCAAAAAUAAACAAAGAAAAAAAGAAUUAAGAUAUGCGGAAAAUCCUGAUUGAUUGUUUUGCAUUACGUGGGUCUAUAAAUAAAUAAAUCCAGAUUUUUUUCUUUUGCCAUGUAGAUAAAUGCUGACAAUUUCAUUUAUUAAACAACUUGAAAUCCAGCAAGCUAUAAAAGAAAACCCUACUUUGUCAUUUCCAAAGGGAAAUGCAGAAGUGGACAAUAGAACAAAGAGCAAUGCUGAUAUUAGCGUCAUCAUGCAAUGCAAAUGUCAGGACACAAUAGGAGAAGGUCUUUCCACCAAGAGGAUUCAUACAUAAAAUUCGACUUAGAAUUUUUUUCCACCACUUAUAAAUGGAGUAAGUAGUAAGGGGGCACACAGACAACAUCAUACCAGUAUACAUGCAAAUAACUUCCAAAAUGAAUGGACGCUACAUGGAAAAUUAACUCCAACAAAUUAGAGACAUAAAAGCUCUGAAGUCAGAAAAUCAAAGAAAUGCUCAAUUCAGCUUAUUUAGUAGUUAAGCUCAAUUCAGGUUAUUUAGUAGUUAUGAACUAAAUUUUUUGCCGUGUCAAAGUUCAAGCCAGACAUACUCCAUGCUACUUCACCUGGAGUUAUGGUCAUCUGGAUUUAUUUUAGAUCAGGGCAGCAACGCGUCAACGUGAACGGGUCAGCAGAUGGUCUACAACAUGAGAUGAAUAACUUGUAGAACUAUGCUAUAGGUGAUACAUCCAUCGUGGCAAAACAUACACAGAAUGCAACAAUACAAAAAAGAGUCCCACGAAAAUGAUUUUUGGACAGCAAGACAAAUCCAAUGUUUAGGAUCUCUGUUAUGUGCAAAUUUCAUGCUAGUAGAAACUACCUGCUAGCCAAGGUGAAGUAGGAAAUGCAUGGCACAUCCGCACGUGAUACUCGUAUAUUUCCCUUCGUUUCAAUAAAAAGAGCAACCACAGGUCUCCAACACCUGCAAGGCAGCAAGCAAACAUGCUCACCCAUCUACAAAGAUCCGAAUAAAGAGCUGAGAACACGGCCGCCUGUAGAAGUUAGAAAAAAUAAUAAGUUUCGUGAACAUGAUUUAGUUCAGUGCUCUCAGCAGAUGCUAAUUACCAAUUUCACUUUGAUUACUUAAAAUAUUCAAGUUUUGUACUAAGUUCUAGAAGACACUAACUGUGAAAAUGCACGAGGACUAAGAAAUUGAACUAUGUGUGAAUUGCAAUAACAAAUUGGAAAGAAUUAACAAUAUGUUCAUUUUCUCUCAACUAUAUUCAGCAACAUGAGCCAUAGGCCCAUAGUUAUACUUAUGUUCUUUACAAAAUACCUUUUUUUUAUAUGGAAACAAAAUAGUCAACUUACAUUUAUAGAAACAACUCAAAAAAUUUAAUUUAGUAAAUUAUGUACGGAUACAGAUCGACACUUUGGGUGAGUGUGUUCCGGUAAUCAACCGCAAUACACUGAAUCAAAAAUCAUGAACUGAGAAGUAGGUGAUCUAAAAUGCAUUUGUUUAGACUAAGCCAGCAAGAAUAACACAUUAGAUUUUAAUCUGGAUCCUUCGUGUAAAGAAAUAACAUAAAAAGAAUCAAGAAUUUCUCAGUUAAUUCAACAAAGAGCAGUGAAAGUGAACCAAAUAAAUCUGGGCACAU
RNAcentral lists this long non-coding RNA (2677 nucleotides) under Triticum aestivum (bread wheat). RNAcentral's name for it is "long non-coding RNA (TAES_LNC023771)". Lineage: Eukaryota; Viridiplantae; Streptophyta; Magnoliopsida; Poales; Poaceae. The record is from RNAcentral.